Molecule: ribosomal RNA, 397 nt
Filed under: Pseudomonas putida
Lineage: Bacteria; Pseudomonadati; Pseudomonadota; Gammaproteobacteria; Pseudomonadales; Pseudomonadaceae
Description: bacterial SSU rRNA
Rfam family: Bacterial small subunit ribosomal RNA
Source: RNAcentral
CCUGGCUCAGAUUGAACGCUGGCGGCAGGCCUAACACAUGCAAGUCGAGCGGAUGACGGGAGCUUGCUCCUUGAUUCAGCGGCGGACGGGUGAGUAAUGCCUAGGAAUCUGCCUGGUAGUGGGGGACAACGUUUCGAAAGGAACGCUAAUACCGCAUACGUCCUACGGGAGAAAGCAGGGGACCUUCGGGCCUUGCGCUAUCAGAUGAGCCUAGGUCGGAUUAGCUAGUUGGUGAGGUAAUGGCUCACCAAGGCGACGAUCCGUAACUGGUCUGAGAGGAUGAUCAGUCACACUGGAACUGAGACACGGUCCAGACUCCUACGGGAGGCAGCAGUGGGGAAUAUUGGACAAUGGGCGAAAGCCUGACCAGCCAUGCCGCGUGUGUGAGAGGUCUUCG